This is a long non-coding RNA of Lemur catta (Ring-tailed lemur), 1022 nucleotides long. RefSeq lists it as uncharacterized. The record is from RefSeq and is a predicted model, not a curated record. The transcript is spliced from 2 exons. NCBI's taxonomy places the organism in Eukaryota, Metazoa, Chordata, Mammalia, Primates, Lemuridae.
GUCACCGCCCCCUCCUGUUUCCUCCGGCUCUUUUCAGAGGAGCUCCCCCAAUCCCCGUCCCCUGCGAUCUGGAGCCUAGCCUCGCGCAACCUUUCAUUUCUAGGAAACACGGAGUAGAAAUGAAACCGAAACCGAACCUGAGUCCCCUGGGAAAUGCGCGAUGGAGGUGGGGGAGUGGCUCAGAGUCGCCCAGGACGCCCCUGCAGGGCCAGAGCGCACCCCCCACCCAGCGUGCCUUCACCCUGGGAGCACUGACCGCGCUCGUGCCAGGACCCCGGGCGCACAGCAGACAGCGCGGACCUCGUGUCCUCGGCUGGCCGGUGCUCAGCCUGCAGGCAGAGGCCAGGCAGUGCGCAAAGGCCGCGUGUGAUGAAGGGCUUGCGGGGCAGGCACGCACGGCUCCGGGAAGAGGGCCGCCAGCCUGGAGGAAGAGGCGCCGGAGCCCAGCGCAGAGCCCAGAAGAAGGAGCCCCUGAGCAGGGGACGUUCAUGUCGUGAAGAGGGUAUUUAAGUGAAGCCCUGAACACCAGCUCCGCAGUUUGGAAUUGUGCUCUGUGCCUCAGCGGGGCACCGCGCAGCACUGUAACCAGGGUGUCAGCUUCCUAGUUUCGACACAACUGACCAGCACUCCUGGCUGCUGAGACCACUGACCACGGAGUGGUUCUGGCCAGGCUCUGGAGGCUGUCCACAGAGGGCCUCUGCCUCACCUCUUGCUGCCAGAGGGCCGAAAACUCCACCCUUGGAUCAUGCUAAUGCCGUCACUUUCUGAACAUGGGUCCCACCACAUAGCAUGGGGCUCAAUUGCACAUGCACAUGUUUCUCCUUCCAUAAAUAUCCCUGGCUCCUUCUAUAGCUCGUCAAAUAUGUGCACUCAGCCACCCCACUCAGCAUAAAUUCCUGUUCCCAUUGCCCCUCCCUCCAAGCCGCUCUCAGCUCCUGCCAGAGGCUCUGCUUCCCAGUGGUCAGAAUGGCCACCUGGGGGUUGUAACCCUUUAUGAGAAAUAAAGCUCUCCUUUCCAAAUA